Molecule: ribosomal RNA, 529 nt
Filed under: Leucobacter chromiiresistens
Lineage: Bacteria; Bacillati; Actinomycetota; Actinomycetes; Micrococcales; Microbacteriaceae
Description: bacterial SSU rRNA
Rfam family: Bacterial small subunit ribosomal RNA
Source: RNAcentral
UAACACGUGAGUAACCUGCCCCGAACUCUGGGAUAAGCGCUGGAAACGGCGUCUAAUACUGGAUAUGUCCUAUCACCGCAUGGUGUGUAGGUGGAAAGAAUUUUGGUUCGGGAUGGACUCGCGGCCUAUCAGCUAGAUGGUGAGGUAAUGGCUCACCAUGGCGACGACGGGUAGCCGGCCUGAGAGGGUGACCGGCCACACUGGGACUGAGACACGGCCCAGACUCCUACGGGAGGCAGCAGUGGGGAAUAUUGCACAAUGGGCGCAAGCCUGAUGCAGCAACGCCGCGUGAGGGAUGACGGCCUUCGGGUUGUAAACCUCUUUUAGUAGGGAAGAAGCGCAAGUGACGGUACCUGCAGAAAAAGCACCGGCUAACUACGUGCCAGCAGCCGCGGUAAUACGUAGGGUGCAAGCGUUGUCCGGAAUUAUUGGGCGUAAAGAGCUCGUAGGCGGCUUGUCGCGUCUGCUGUGAAAACCAGAGGCUCAACCUCUGGCCUGCAGUGGGUACGGGCAAGCUAGAGUGCGGUAG